RNAcentral lists this long non-coding RNA (345 nucleotides) under Ananas comosus (pineapple). RNAcentral's name for it is "long non-coding RNA (ACOM_LNC032241)". The record is from RNAcentral. Lineage: Eukaryota; Viridiplantae; Streptophyta; Magnoliopsida; Poales; Bromeliaceae.
AAUCUUCAUUUGAAUCUUUCUUUUUUCGCUUUAUUUCAUCAUCUACUUUUCAGAGCGAAAAAUAAAACCCUCACUCGCUACUUUUCGCUAUUAGUUAAUUGAUAAGUUUAGAUUCGAAUAAUUAGUUUGCAGUUCGAAUCUUAUUUAAAGAGAAAAUUGCGUGCGUGUUUCUGUAAUAAUUUAUAUUCAUUCAUAAACGAUGCUCGUUCUAUUUUUUAAGAAAUAAUAUAAGCUGAAAAUGAUUAGAUUUCAAAUUUAUGAUUUCGAAUGCCACACAUCAGUUUUUAACCAACUGUGCUAGACACGGUCGAUAUUUGUGUUGUAUUUUGAAGCGCAAUGAAUUAG